Molecule: long non-coding RNA, 2217 nt
Filed under: Nicotiana benthamiana
Lineage: Eukaryota; Viridiplantae; Streptophyta; Magnoliopsida; Solanales; Solanaceae
Description: long non-coding RNA (NBEN_LNC026723)
Source: RNAcentral
AUAAUCUCAACACCUGAGAAGCUUGUCUGCACAGUGGCCAGUUCAAAGAUUUACAUAUUGUCCAAUGUAUGUCAAUGAGAAGAAAUAUUUGGUAAGAAGAUAGACUAAGAUGCACGGUGAAAUCAGAUAAAGAGGUCAACGAAACAAUGAUAUAUUGCUCAUUUUUCACACAAUGAUACAUUGGGAACUUUCGCAAACAGAGAAACAAGAAUAAUUCAAUCUAUUACUGGGAUUGUUUCUUGGGGGGACAGAGUUAUGGAAUUUUGCUAUUGACUGGGAUUGUUUCCUUUAGCAUUGUUUGACUGCCUUAAUGCUACUUGGCUAGGUUUUGGGCAAUUGGAGGUCAAUAACAAAGGAAAAAGCAUAAUUUGGGGUAGAAGACUAGCCGGGAUAAGGUAAGAACUUGCUUAACCUCGACUUGAGGGAAUGUUUUCUAAAAAUGAAAUUAUAUGCUACAUGCUAUGUGUUUGGGGGUGUGACAUAUAUGCAAGGUGACGAGCAUAUACGCGGGUACGAAUGUUAUAUCAUAUUCGGGGUAGAUUUUAGACUUCUUUAUGCCUGCUGGUAGGAGGUAGCAUGUACCCGAUAGAAUUAGUCGAAGUGCGCCGGGUUAUUUAUGGUUCAAUUUGGGUCGGUUUUUCCCUAAAAAGAAACCAAACCAACUAAGCCGGUUUUUCAAAUAUUGGAACCAAACCAAACCAAUUAAGUCGGUUUUUUAUCGAUUCGGUUUUUGUGGGAUUUUAAGGUUUUUCGGUUAUUUAUAAGUUUUUUUCUUAAAUAUGAGACAUACACUACAAAUGCAUAUUCUGGCAACUACAUUUUUAACGUAACACUAUCAAAUCAAUUGCUCUUUGAGAAAUCUAUCAUUUACCAAGAUAUAUUGAUAAUAAUGAAUCAAAUAGUGAUAAUAAUUUAAAUCCUAAAUUAAAAAUUGAAUAGUUUUAACAUAGAAUAAAUUCUUAUACUUAGCAAAAGAAAACUAUCAACCAAACUAGAAUAUAAAAGCAAAGAAUUAGAUUAUUAUAAUACCAAAGAACUAGACUAAAAAUAUAAAUGCUAAUAUCUGCCAUCAAAUUUUAGAAACUUUAUAUAAAAAUACGCAUAUAUAGGUGUAAUAAUAAAUUUAAAUAGCUAUUUUUAUAGUCGGUUUGGUUCGGGUUUUUUUCGAUUUUUUUUUUUUUUUUGAUUAAAACCAAAACCAAACCUAAAAAGUAUCGGUUCUUUUGGUCGGAUUGGUUCGGUUUUCAUGUUGGUUCAGUUUUCGAAUUUUUAUGAACACCCCCGUGCGCGCAAGCUAACCCGCAAACCACCGUUAUAAAAAAAAUAUAUCAUGAUCAGUGAAGUACUGUAAAAACUGCUGCCCUAUGUGCUGGUCGAUGUGAGAUAGACUGAUAUAAGCCCUGAUGGGCAGGAGGGUGGAUUGUUCGACAUAAAGAGAUUAUGAUGAAACCACCAGAUGAAGGACCUGGCAAAGGGGAGGUUGGCUCGUCUGCUGUGCAAAGGACAUGGUAAGAAAGAUUGUGAUACGACAAGGUAAGGGGGAGGCUAGCUUGUCCACCAUGAGAAAGAUGUGCUGAAACUAAAUUGAUUUGAGUUUGAGCUUUGUCGAUCGGGUGGUUGGGUCGAUCAUCACAUUAAUGGCGAACCAGAAUGAAAAGCUUAGGUGAAGUUGCUGAAGAAUAUGAAUUGUUAUGCCUAAGAAUUAACUCUGAUUUCAAAGAACAAUUUCAAUCAUGAAUAUCAAAACAUGUGAAAUAUUUGAAAAGCUAUGUAACAUAUAUGAUUAUGAUUUGUAAAACUGUAUGCAUGUUUUCUCGAAAAUUUGUCCUACCUUUUGGAGAGGGAGGUAUGAGACUUACUGAGUACAUGUUGUGUUCAUGGAGAAUCAGAGAAAUUCAACAAAUCUCGAGAUCCAGAAACCUAUUUAUACGCCUAGCCUUAAGCAAAAGAAAUAUCAUUAGUCCUACCAUAGAAUUCAGCCUUGAAAGUAUGCUGCACACAACAACAACCACCCAGUGAGAUCCCAUAGCCUUGAAAGUACGCUGCAUCUUUAGCGCAAAUCGAAACAUUUCUCAAAAUAAAAAGGAAUCCUCCUCUUGAGGUUGGUAAGCUAGCCCAAAACCAUGUUAAUGGGAAAAAAGUAUGAGGAAAUUAAAAGAGACCUUGAUGUCUUCACCCUAAGCGCAUGCCAGGAAACUCCUCCUCUCAUGAUUGGAG